This 205-nucleotide long non-coding RNA is filed under the name Homo sapiens (human). RNAcentral describes it as "non-protein coding lnc-OR2Y1-1:1". Lineage: Eukaryota; Metazoa; Chordata; Mammalia; Primates; Hominidae. The record is from RNAcentral.
AUUUUUAGGCCGUCUCUGGACUCAUGGGGAAAAUAUUCCUAUAGUUUUAAACAUGUUCAAACUUUGAUGAGUGUGAAAUUCUUAGGUCACAUUUUUAUCUUAAGGUCACUCUUGCCCUUGGAUCCCAGGCAAAAGGAGGACCUCUGCCCUAGCCCCAUGUCUCAGGGUAUCCAUACUUUGGAGUGCCUUCCUCACUCACAGUAUG